This 468-nucleotide ribosomal RNA is filed under the name uncultured bacterium. Its description in RNAcentral is "partial 16S ribosomal RNA". It matches the Rfam family "Bacterial small subunit ribosomal RNA", at positions 28 to 507 of the family's 1533-position model. The record is from RNAcentral.
GACGAACGCUGGCGGCGUGCUUAACACAUGCAAGUCGAACGGAAAGGCCAUGCUUUUGUGGGGUGCUCGAGUGGCGAACGGGUGAGUAACACGUGAGUAACCUGCCCUUGACUUUGGGAUAACUUCAGGAAACUGGGGCUAAUACCGGAUAGGAGCUCCUGCUGCAUGGUGGGGGUUGGAAAGUUUCGGCGGUUGGGGAUGGACUAGAGGCUUAUCCGCUUGUUGGUGGGGUAGUGGCUGACCAAGGCUUUGACGGGUAGCCGGCCUGAGAGGUGGACCGGCCACAUGGGGACUGAGAGACGGACCAGACUCGUACGUGAGGCAGCAGUGGGGAACAUGGCACAAUGGGCGGAAGCCUGAUGCAGCAACGCCGCGUGCAGGAUGACCGCUUUCGGGUUGUAAACCGCUGUCGCCGUUGACGAAGAGGGAUUGACGGUAAUGGGUAAAGAAGCACCGGCUAACUACGUG